This 432-nucleotide ribosomal RNA is filed under the name uncultured bacterium. Its description in RNAcentral is "partial 16S ribosomal RNA". It matches the Rfam family "Bacterial small subunit ribosomal RNA", at positions 29 to 507 of the family's 1533-position model. The record is from RNAcentral.
ACGAACGCUGGCGGCAUGCCUAACACAUGCCAGUCGAACGAGACCUUCGGGUCUAGUGGCGCACGGGUGCGUAACGCGUGGGAACCUGCCCUUAGGUUCGGAAUAACUCCCCGAAAGGGGUGCUAAUACCGGAUAAUGUCUUCGGACCAAAGAUUUAUCGCCUUUGGAUGGGCCCGCGUUGGAUUAGCUCGUUGGUAGGGUAAAAGCCUACCAAGGCGACGAUCCAUAGCUGGUCUGAGAGGAUGAUCAGCCACACUGGGACUGAGACACGGCCCAGACUCCUACGGGAGGCAGCAGUGGGGAAUAUUGGACAAUGGGCGAAAGCCUGAUCCAGCAAUGCCGCGUGAGUGAUGAAGGCCUUAGGGUUGUAAAGCUCUUUUACCCGGGAUGAUAAUGACAGUACCGGGAGAAUAAGCUCCGGCUAACUCCGUG